This 433-nucleotide ribosomal RNA is filed under the name uncultured bacterium. RNAcentral describes it as "partial 16S ribosomal RNA". It matches the Rfam family "Bacterial small subunit ribosomal RNA", at positions 29 to 507 of the family's 1533-position model. The record is from RNAcentral.
AGCGAACGCUGGCGGCAGGCCUAACACAUGCAAGUCGAACGUACUCUUCGUAGUUAGUGGCGGACGGGUGAGUAACCCGUGGGAACGUGCCUUUUGGUUCGGAACAACUCAGGGAAACUUGUGCUAAUACCGAAUGUGCCCUUCGGGGGAAAGGUUUAUCGCCAUUAGAGCGGCCCGCGUCUGAUUAGCUUGUUGGUGAGGUCACGGCUCACCAAGGCGUCGAUCAGUAGCUGGUCUGAGAGGAUGACCAGCCACACUGGUACUGAGACACGGACCAGACUCCGACGGGAGGGUGCAGAGGGGAAUCUUGCGCAAUGGGCGAAAGCCUGACGCAGCCAUGCCGCGUGAAUGAUGAAGGUCUUAGGAUUGUAAAAUUCUUUCACCGGGGACGAUAAUGACGGUACCCGGAGAAGAAGCCCCGGCUAACUACGUG